This is an RNA transcript of Ziziphus jujuba (common jujube), 1960 nucleotides long. RefSeq lists it as uncharacterized. The record is from RefSeq and is a predicted model, not a curated record. The transcript has 4 exons. NCBI's taxonomy places the organism in Eukaryota, Viridiplantae, Streptophyta, Magnoliopsida, Rosales, Rhamnaceae.
UUGACACCGUAGACGACGUAGAACUCUCUCUCUCUCUUUCUCUGUGUGCACCUCUUGUAUAUGCAGGCAAAGCUCAGCCUCUACGCUCGCAUAACAUAUUUUUCUCUCUCUCUCUCUCUACUUUGUCUCUCUAAAAGCACGAAACCUCUCCUUCUUCUUCUUCAGAGACCGGACCGCCUCUUUCUUCUCUUUCCUAGAGUUUCUCUCUCUGAAAAAAGCUUUGAAUAAGAGGUUUGUCAGAAACAGAGAGAGAGAGAGAGAGAGAGAGAGAGAGAGAGAGAGAGAUAGUGAAAGAAAAGAGAGAGAGAGAGAGAGUUGCUGAAGUGUAUGUAGUUUUUUUUUUUUGACGAAGAAUGGCUACGGCACCGGUGAAGUCUCCGCUGCAUAACUUCCCCUUGCCAUUCUUAAAAUGGGGAGGAAAGAAUCACACAAACAACAACCACCGAUGCCGGCGGCCGAUAUCGGCCGAAUCCUCGCCCGUCGCCGACCACUGCGAGCAAGACACCGACAGGAACCAGUCGGAGGGAGAAGCGACAAGGCCGCACCGGGUCGAAUCGCGGGCGUUUCGGAACCGAUUCGCGUUCUCGUCGUGCUCUGCCGUUGAGAAAUCGCAGAAGCAACAGUCGGAGAGGGAGAGCAACGAGAGCGAAGAUGUCAGGGAUGGGAAGCAGCAGCAGCGAGAAGUUGAGGAAGCUGAGGCGGAGGACACGGUUCAGAAGCCGUGGAAUCUGAGACCAAGGAAAGGAUUGGCUUCGAAGGCUCCGAUUGUUUUGAAGAACGGGGAAUUGCAAGAAAUGGAGGGUCUCGGUGGUUCGAUGAGUGGUGGUCAGCAGCAUCAGCAUCAGAGUGAGGGUCACAAUCCACAGCCGAAAUCGCUGCGGCUACGGGGUUUCGCUGAGUCGCAGAGCACGGAGAAGAAGGAGAAGAGGAAGUUCUGGAUCGCACUUUCGAAGGAGGAGAUUGAAGAGGACAUAUUCGUGAUGACUGGGUCCAGACCUUCUCGGAGGCCUAAGAAGCGGCCCAAGAAUGUCCAGAAACAGCUUGACGGUGUUUUUCCUGGGUUAUGGUUGGUGGGGAUUACCGCUGAUGCUUAUCGGGUUGCCGAUACUCCGGCUAAGAGGUAGCCGAAAGGUUAAUUCUUGAAGCUUGCUUCGAUUGAUGGGGAUAUGCUCCUGUGACAUUGAGACCUCAAUUUGAGGCUUCCCUACAUCGUUGGGGGGCAGAGUUGCAUAUUUUGCAAAUCCUUAUCCGAUACAGGAUUAAUCACUGCUUGCUUCCUUGGAGCUCUUCUCCAUUCAAUUUGAUUCAUCAUGAUGAACCCCUGAUGAGGUUGAAAGUUUAUAUGUUUGAUACAUGUGUUCCUUGUUUAACUUUCUUUUCGUAUCUCACAUUAAUACUUCUGAACCUUUUGAAUUUUAUGAAAAAUUUAUUAAAUGUGGUUUAAAUGUUUUCACAAUAUUGUUCUUCCAUAAAUGGUGAAGUUUCAUACGUGCUGGCAUGUCAUAGUAGAUGAGUGAGUUUUUAGGUUUCUCUGUUUAGGCUUGCAUUUAAGUUUUCUGUUCAAAGUGGGCGUCGCAUCUAGUACCAGUGGUAAGUUUACGCUUUCCUGUUCUUCUUCAUGGGUAUAAAUGAUUUGAAGAAUCCUUAAAGUUUUGCCUUGUGUCAAGGAUUUUAUAAUAAGGAUUAAACUAGUUAUUCCUUGGCGGUUGUUUAAUCUGGAGCAUCGAUAUGAUACCUGGUUGACAAUAAAUUUGCAGAAAGUCCAGCUAGCCUGAUGAUACAAAUUAGUGGUUUUGACUUUUGAUGCCUGAGACUGUUCAAAUCUUGUAUUGAACUUGACUUGUAGAAAGGGGGAGAAAAGUCCCAACUUCAACUUCAUAAACACCGUUUCUUUCUUGGUUUUGUUUUCCAUAAUUGAAAAGUCUUGGUGGCCCAUUUUUUUUUUUUUUUAAUGUAUUUU